RNAcentral lists this long non-coding RNA (288 nucleotides) under Carica papaya (papaya). Its description in RNAcentral is "long non-coding RNA (CPAP_LNC011984)". The record is from RNAcentral. Lineage: Eukaryota; Viridiplantae; Streptophyta; Magnoliopsida; Brassicales; Caricaceae.
UCAAUUCCUUUCUCCGACGAGAGGCUGGCAGUUAGGGUUUGAGUUCGAUGUGAUGAGAUAUAUUUAUACCCGUCUCGCUUAAAUCUGGAUUGUUUAUCGCAUUUGAUCUCGACUGUCCGAUUGCGUUUAAAGAGAAAAUGAAUCUGGAUCGUUCAUCGCGAUUUGAUCUCGACCGUCCGAUCGCGUUUAAAGAGUGAACAAAUUUGAACCGUUCAUCGCGUUUAAUCGCGACUGUCCGAUCGCACUUGAGGAAGAAACGGAUCCGAACUGCCCACGCGUGCAGAAACA